CUCGUAGGCGGUUUGGUAAGUCGGGUGUGAAAACUCUGGGCUCAACUCAGAGACGCCACCCGAUACUGCCAUGACUAGAGUCCGGUAGAGGAGUACGGAAUUCCCAGUGUAGCGGUGAAAUGCGCAGAUAUUGGGAGGAACACCAGUAGCGAAGGCGGUACUCUGGGCCGGAACUGACGCUCAGGAGCGAAAGCGUGGGGAGCGAACA
This 208-nucleotide ribosomal RNA is filed under the name uncultured bacterium. RNAcentral's name for it is "partial 16S ribosomal RNA". It matches the Rfam family "Bacterial small subunit ribosomal RNA", at positions 568 to 774 of the family's 1533-position model. The record is from RNAcentral.